RNAcentral lists this ribosomal RNA (430 nucleotides) under uncultured archaeon. RNAcentral describes it as "bacterial SSU rRNA". It matches the Rfam family "Archaeal small subunit ribosomal RNA", at positions 922 to 1353 of the family's 1478-position model. The record is from RNAcentral.
ACCUCCACCGGGAGCGACAGCAGGAUGACGGCCAGGCUAACGACCUUGCCUGACACGCUGAGGGGAGGUGCACGGCCGUCGCCAGCUCGUGCUGUGAAGUGUCCUGUUAAGUCAGGCAACGAGCGAGACCCCCGCUCUUAGUUGCUAUCCCAUAGGAGACUAUGGGGGCACACUAAGAGGACUGCCGCCGCUAAGACGGAGGAAGGAGGGGGCCACGGCAGGUCAGCAUGCCCCUAAACUCCCGGGCUGCACGCGGGCUACAAUGACGGGGACAGCGGGUUCCGACCCCGAAAGGGGAAGGCAAUCCCUGAAACCCCGCCGUAGUUGGGAUUGAGGGCUGCAACUCGCCCUCAUGAACCUGGAAUCCCUAGUAACCGCGCGUCAUCAUCGCGCGGUGAAUACGUCCCUGCCCCUUGUACACACCGCCCGU